UACGUAUGGUGCAAGCGUUAUCCGGAUUUACUGGGUGUAAAGGGAGCGCAGGCGGCACGGCAAGCCUGAUGUGAAAGCCCGCGGCCCAACCGCGGGACUGCAUUGGGAACUACCGGGCUGGAGUGCCGGAGAGGUAGGCGGAAUUCCUAGUGUAGAGGUGAAAUGCGUAGAUAUUAGGAGGAACACCAGUGGCGAAGGCGGCCUACUGGACGGUGACUGACGCUGAGGCUCGAAAGCGUGGGGAGCAAACAGG
Molecule: ribosomal RNA, 253 nt
Filed under: uncultured bacterium
Lineage: Bacteria
Description: partial 16S ribosomal RNA
Rfam family: Bacterial small subunit ribosomal RNA
Source: RNAcentral